UCAUCACAUCUGAGGUAUUGUUCACUUUGAAGCUCAUAACUUCAUCCCCAUAUAAAACUCCCAUGAUAGUUUUGAAGUCCUAAAGAAUAAGUGUUUUAUGCUCGUCAGUUGAUGAGGUUUGGGUUUCGAAGACCCAGAUGAUGGGCUUUGCGAUGUCAUUCACUUAUAAUGAUGUACUCAACCCUCCUUGACUAGUUGAGCUAGUUGAGUAGUUACGGCGUAACAUUUCUCCAUGUCAUGCCCAUGGGCUUGGUGAAACUCACACCAAACAUCAUGGCUAGGGCUUAAGAUUCAAAGGGUUCAUCUUGGAAAUAGAAGUCUACUAGCCACCUUAUCAUCUGUGAGGAUCUCCUUGUGGGAGACCGCUAGGGUUGGGUAGGUGAUGUCAACAAGAGGUUUUUGGGUGAUGUAGGAUACAUAUCGCCUAUUCGCCCUUUCUUCUACUUGAAUGAAUUGUCCUUUGGCUUCCAUUCAUUACGAUCUUCUCUAUGGUGGCGUCUUUCCUCGGUUGUGUUUUUGUUGCAUUAGUUCUUCAACUUGAAUGUGAGAGGAGGCCUUAUUUCAAACAUAGGCCAUUGACUCAACUUUAUUACAAACCAGAAUUCACUGAAUAAGCUGGCCCUAAAGCCCUUGUUGAAGGCGUCAACAAACAUCUCCUUGUUUGGUUGAUGGAUGUGUACACUAAUGUCACAAAAAGUUGGUUGAGAUAACCUUUUAGAGACUUGCUUUCCUACUACUUGAUAUCAAAGAGAUUGGUCAUCUUAGGGGGUUUGAUUUUGUUAGCUGUGAAUCGUUGGACUAACAUGUGAGA
This 811-nucleotide small RNA is filed under the name Vigna angularis var. angularis. RNAcentral describes it as "Non-protein coding transcript". The record is from RNAcentral. Lineage: Eukaryota; Viridiplantae; Streptophyta; Magnoliopsida; Fabales; Fabaceae.